This is an RNA transcript of Musa acuminata subsp. malaccensis (wild Malaysian banana), 1184 nucleotides long. It is a transcript of the gene named mediator of RNA polymerase II transcription subunit 31, with no coding region annotated. The record is from RefSeq and is a predicted model, not a curated record. Lineage: Eukaryota; Viridiplantae; Streptophyta; Magnoliopsida; Zingiberales; Musaceae.
UACAAGCCGGUCCGAUGCAGCCCAAUUGGAUUCUACGAUGCUCUCAGUCUAAUCGAUUCCAUUCAAGUCUUUUUCGCUCUACCCUAACUCUUGGCGCCUUAGGGUUGCUGUGAUGGCUUCCGGCAGAGACGACGCGGAUCGUCCCGCUGAAUCCCAAACUUCAUCUAAGAACCCUUACAAGGACCCUGACGAUGGUCGCCAACGAUUUCUUCUCGAGCUGGAGUUCGUUCAAUGUCUCUCCAACCCGACUUACAUCCACUAUCUUGCUCAAAAUCGCUAUUUUGAGGAUGAGGCCUUCAUCGGAUACUUAAAAUAUCUAAAAUAUUGGCAAAGGCCUGAGUACAUAAAGUUCAUAAUGUAUCCUCAUUGCCUCUUCUUUCUUGAGCUUCUCCAAAAUGCUAACUUUCGGAAUGCAAUGGCACAUCCUGGUAGCAAGGAGUUGGCUCAUCGGCAACAGUACUAUUUCUGGAAGAACUACAGGAACAACAGAUUGAAGCACAUUCUACCGCGUUCUCUUCCUGAACCUCCUUCAGUUCCAGCUUCAGCUCCAGCUCCAGCUCCUCUUCCGGCUGGAGCGCCGAUUCCAAAUGCAGCUCCACCUCCACUUCCAUCAAUGCCACCUAUGACUUCUGCUGCCUCAGCACUCUCUCCACUGCAGUUUGUGGGACAACCUGGAUCUGCCAUCCCAAAGAGUGACAUCAGAAAUACCAUGGGAGAUCGUAGGAAGAGAAAGUGAUAUGGCUUUAGAGUCAUAAUGUUGGUCCAGUAAAACAUGCAUCCAAGAGGAAAGAAGAUUGAAAGGGCCAAAUCAUUCCUAGAAGAAAAUGAUCAGGGCCUAUGUCCUGAUAUGGAGCAUAGCUUACAUAACAAUAUUUCAUGGUAUUGAUGGCUUCGAAGAAACUACAAAGCACUCUCUAGGAUGCGUUGCUGCUUCAGUUUUCUUUACUGAUGAAGUCUGUGGCUUGUGGGUUUUGCACUCUCAAACUUCCACCCAGAAGGUUCUCAUGGCAUACUGACAUGGAUGUUCGUAUUGAAGCUUAGAUCUUAUUCAUUAUUUCAAGUUAAGAGUUGUCAAUCCUCAAGAGGGUAGAUGUAGCGUUAGCCAAAUUGGUAUCCAAUUCUCAAGGUGUCGUGGUUGUUGAGAUAAACACUUUGCUUGAAAUGAUUUCUCAACCCUGUUGAUA